RNAcentral lists this ribosomal RNA (491 nucleotides) under uncultured bacterium. Its description in RNAcentral is "partial 16S ribosomal RNA". It matches the Rfam family "Bacterial small subunit ribosomal RNA", at positions 28 to 507 of the family's 1533-position model. The record is from RNAcentral.
GAUGAACGCUGGCUACAGGCUUAACACAUGCAAGUCGAGGGGAAACGACGGGGAAGCUUGCUUCCCCGGGCGUCGACCGGCGCACGGGUGAGUAACGCGUAUCCAACCUGCCUCUGACUGAGGGAUAACCCGUCGAAAGUCGGCCUAAUACCUCAUGGUAUCGUCUGCGGGCAUCCAACGACGAUUAAAGAUUUCAUCGGUCAGGGAUGGGGAUGCGUCUGAUUAGCUUGUUGGCGGGGUAACGGCCCACCAAGGCUACGAUCAGUAGGGGUUCUGAGAGGAAGGUCCCCCACAUUGGAACUGAGACACGGUCCAAAAUCAGACGGGAGGCAGCAGUGAGGAAUAUUGGUCAAUGGGCGAGAGCCUGAACCAGCCAAGUAGCGUGCAGGAAGACGGCCCUAUGGGUUGUAAACUGCUUUUAUGCGGGGAUAAAGUGAGGGACGUGUCCCUCAUUGCAGGUACCGAAUGAAUAAGGACCGGCUAAUUCCGUG